RNAcentral lists this transfer RNA (72 nucleotides) under Sphingomonas faeni. RNAcentral's name for it is "tRNA-Val". It matches the Rfam family "tRNA". From Rfam's summary of the family: Transfer RNA (tRNA) molecules are approximately 80 nucleotides in length. Their secondary structure includes four short double-helical elements and three loops (D, anti-codon, and T loops). RNAcentral also lists the same sequence under 12 other names. The record is from RNAcentral. Lineage: Bacteria; Pseudomonadati; Pseudomonadota; Alphaproteobacteria; Sphingomonadales; Sphingomonadaceae.
GGGCGCGUAGCUCAGUGGUAGAGCACACCCUUCACACGGGUGGGGUCGCUGGUUCAAUCCCAGCCGCGCCCA